CUUCUCACUUUGGUAGAACACAUACUAAAGUUGGAACAAUAUAGAGAAGAUGAGCAUGGCCCCUGUACAAGGAUGACAGGCAAAUUUAAUGAGGCAUUCCAUUAAAAA
RNAcentral lists this small nuclear RNA (108 nucleotides) under Sciurus vulgaris (Eurasian red squirrel). The record is from RNAcentral. Lineage: Eukaryota; Metazoa; Chordata; Mammalia; Rodentia; Sciuridae.